UGUGCAGCAGGCUCCUAGCUGGCCUCACCACCUCCACCUUGCUCCCUACAGCAUCUUCUUAGUACACAGCUAGGAGUCCUGUUAAUGUCAGCUCAUGCCACACAUCUGCUCAAAACCCUCCAAAGGCUUCCUCUCACUCUGAGUAAAAGCCAAGGCUCUACUCAAAGGAUAUCUGCUUUAUUUUCUGUUUAGAACUAACUGCUGUUUUGCUUAUCUGUCUCUCUCCUUAGAAGACAGACACAUGGUUUUGUGGGUGAGGCUCCUGCUGGGUCCUGUGCUUGGUGUCUCAGGCAUUCUGGCAAAGGUAGGAGCAUAACCAGAGAUGUCCCUAUUGCCUUCUCAGUGUGCACACUUUGAUGAAGCCAGCUGCCACAUUAGAGAAGUCUAUGUGACAAAGGAGCCUUCAGCACAUAGCCAGGGAGGAAUCAAGAUCCUCAGCCCAACAAGUUUGGCAGGAGGAACUGAAUCCUGCCAAAGCCAUGUGGGCUUGGAAGCAGAUCUUUCCCCCAAUGGAGCCUUUAGAGGAGACCACACCGCCUCUGUCAACACCUUAAUUACAGCCUUGCGGGAGACCCUGAAUCAGAGGAACACAGGAGCUCCUGCACCACACAUGCCUUCCUCAUGCAGUUAGUAUAAGAGUCCAAAGAAAGAAGAGAUUGAAAAGCACUUCAGAAAUUCUCAAACCCUGCACCAAUGUAAGGAACUACAGAACUGCAGGAGGAUUUACUCCCUUGUUGGUUAAUCACUUUUCAAAUGUGUUCCUUG
This 765-nucleotide long non-coding RNA is filed under the name Pongo abelii (Sumatran orangutan). Its description in RNAcentral is "lincRNA". Lineage: Eukaryota; Metazoa; Chordata; Mammalia; Primates; Hominidae. The record is from RNAcentral.